GUUGCAAGGGGACAUCCGAUAAAAUUGAAAUGAUACCAAGAAAUUAGCAUGUCCCCUACGCAAGGUUGACAAGUAAAUCGAAAAAUUGUCCAAAUUUUUU
RNAcentral lists this small nuclear RNA (100 nucleotides) under Phaseolus vulgaris (common bean). Lineage: Eukaryota; Viridiplantae; Streptophyta; Magnoliopsida; Fabales; Fabaceae. The record is from RNAcentral.